UACGUAGGGGGCGAGCGUUGUCCGGAAUCAUUGGGCGUAAAGAGCGUGUAGGCGGCUUGGCAAGUCUGACGUGAAAUCCCGCGGCUCAACCGCGGUAGGUCGUUGGAAACUGCCUCGCUAGAGUCCGGAAGAGGAGAGCGGAAUUCCUGGUGUAGCGGUGGAAUGCGCAGAUAUCAGGAGGAACACCGGUGGCGAAGGCGGUUCUCUGGGCCUUACCUGACGCUGAGGAGCGAAAGCGUGGGGAGCAAACAGG
This 253-nucleotide ribosomal RNA is filed under the name uncultured bacterium. RNAcentral describes it as "partial 16S ribosomal RNA". It matches the Rfam family "Bacterial small subunit ribosomal RNA", at positions 524 to 776 of the family's 1533-position model. The record is from RNAcentral.